Molecule: small nuclear RNA, 104 nt
Filed under: Microcebus murinus (gray mouse lemur)
Lineage: Eukaryota; Metazoa; Chordata; Mammalia; Primates; Cheirogaleidae
Source: RNAcentral
GUGCUCGCUUCAGCAGCACACAUACUAAAAUCGGAACAACACAGAGAUUAGCAUGGCCCCUGCGCAAGGAUGACAUGCAAAUUCGCAAAGCAUUCCAUAUUUUU